UACGAGAUUAGCCAACAUAAGUAAAGAGGGGAAGGAGGGUGAGAGCUUGGGGUAGAGGGAGAGGUUCUGAUUGAGGGAAAGGGUUAAGGAAGGUUUCUGGAACAUAGGUCUAGGUACCACCUUAUCUAGCUCUUCUCCCUGCAUUGUGAGCCGGUGAGAGAGAAGUGAGGAGUCUAGGGUCCACGUCUUUAACUUUAUGGCUCCAUCGUGUCCUGAUUAUUUUCUCCCUCAAAAUAAUGUGUGUUUCUUCUUCUUUACAGGGAAGAGGUACACUAUUUGACACUCUUCUAACUACUUUGCUCUCGACGUCUCGAUUAUAAUAACCGUGUAUUUGUUUGUUGAUUUUAUUCACAUAUGAUACGAACUGUUUACUAGGUACCGAACUAUCUACGGAUUCCAUACAUUGAUGCAUUCACCUUGAUCGACACUCAGUACAGACUUUAUAAAGAACAGAAAUACCACCGUAACAUAUGUAUAAGUACAAAGAACACGUAUAAAUCGUUUCAUAAGUCGUUUUGUGAAUGUGAAGUAAGAACAAACAGGGCCUUAGGAAAUAUUAACACACGGGUUUCGAUAUCAUACGUACUACAAAGAUAUAUAAAUAACAACAGUAAAUAGAAAUGUUAAUCCAUACCACACGGAUUAUUGUUCUUUACUCGUUACAACUUAAGAACGUACUUUCCAUUGUUUUUUUUUCCUCAGUAAGAUAACGUCAUCAACAAGAUUAGAUCUGUACUAUUAUACAUAACCUCUAACGACCGGCACGACCACUAAACCCUCUAGUCCGGACUCGUGUUGGCAGUGCAUAAAUGGUAAGUAUAAGCGACGUCUCGAGUGUACGUAACGGAAACUCCUUCGGUCACAACAUUCCUCCGACUACGUUUCGUACAGUAAAAACUGUCAUCAGAUCGAAUCACUUGGUUGACGGUAACACGCAAUAGAGAAGACGAAAAGAAGACAAGAUGUUAUAAACAAGGAAGAUAGUCAAUUUAAUACAACCCAGUAAUAUGACAUAGGAUAUAGAGAGAGCCCAGAGUAUAAGUA
RNAcentral lists this ribosomal RNA (1044 nucleotides) under Triticum aestivum (bread wheat). RNAcentral describes it as "partial small subunit ribosomal RNA". The record is from RNAcentral. Lineage: Eukaryota; Viridiplantae; Streptophyta; Magnoliopsida; Poales; Poaceae.